CCCUUAGAGUUUGAUCCUGGCUCAGAACGAACGUUGGCGGCGUGGAUUAGGCAUGCAAGUCGAACGAAUCCCCGGGGCAACUCGGGGGGAAGUGGCGAAAGGGGCAGUAAGGCGUGGCUAACCUACCCCGGGGACGGGCAUAGCCAUCCUAACGGAUGGGUAAUUCCUGGCGAUGCGGCGGAGGGGCAUCUCUUUGCCGUGAAACGAGUUUCGCCUCGGGAGGGGGUCACGUGCUAUUACCUUGUUGGCGGGGUAACGGCCCACCAAGGGGAAGAUGGCUAGCGGGUGUGAGAGCACGACCCGCGCCACUGGCACUGAGACACUGGCCAGACUCCUACGGGAGGCUGCAGUCGAGGAUCUUCGGCAAUGGGCGCAAGCCUGACCGAGCGACGCCGCGUGUGCGAUGAAGGCCUUCGGGUUGUAAAGCACUGUCGAGGGGGAGGAAGCCCGCAAGGGUUGACCUAUCCCUGGAGGAAGCACGGGCUAAGUUCGUGCCAGCAGCCGCGGUAAGACGAACCGUGCGAACGUUGUUCGGAUUCACUGGGCUUAAAGGGCGCGUAGGCGGCUUGCCAAGUCAGGGGUGAAAUCUUUCGGCUUAACCGGAAAAGUGCUUCUGAUACUGGCGGGCUGGAGGAGGGUAGGGGCGGGCGGAACUUCCGGUGGAGCGGUGAAAUGCGUAGAUAUCG
This 686-nucleotide ribosomal RNA is filed under the name uncultured bacterium. RNAcentral describes it as "bacterial SSU rRNA". It matches the Rfam family "Bacterial small subunit ribosomal RNA", at positions 1 to 699 of the family's 1533-position model. The record is from RNAcentral.